CAACUGAGGUUGACUUAAGUGUGUUUGACUUAAGUUUGUUUAUGUGAUCCAUCCAUCUCUUUGUUGUGUUUGGAUUUGUCUAGACCCUUCUCAGCCAACAAAUUAAUGAUCAAUCAAUUCAUAAAUUAUUUAAUGCAUUGAUCCACAGGCACCGAGGCUGAAGAACCGGAGGAGCAGCCCUAUACACCCACUACUGUAGACGCAGACAUAGCCGAGGAGGAGAAGAGGAGGAAGAUAAGAAUGAAGGACAAGAAAGGGAGAGGAAGACUAGAUCCAAGGCUAAGCAAUCCUUUAACAAUAAGUGUGGUAUGAUGGCCCACACCAAGCACUGUACCAUGUCCCAGGAGACCAUGCUGCAGUGCCCUGAGUAGCUGCCCACAUUGCGGGCACUACAGCUCCACCGCAACAAGGCACACCCAGAGUCCAAAGCCGCCAAGAAGAAAUGGCCACAGGUGUCCUGCAAUAUGUGUGGCAGGACCUUCGCUCACCCCUCGGACAUCUCAGAGCUCCAUGACUGUCAGAAAUGUCAUCUGACUUUUCCCUCGUUGGAUGACCACUGGAAGCACAUCCAGGAGUGCCACCCCAAGGAGUUCCACCAGUGUCCUGAGUGCAACAAGAUGUUCACCAACCCCGUCCUACUGGAGAAACACAUAGCUGUGCACGCUGGGGGAACACCAUACCGCUGCAAGCUUUGCCAGAAGUCCUGCCAGAAGUCCACACAUUGGCCUAUAGCACACACACCUUUAUUCUCAUGCUUUACUAUUAAAGGAUGAGUUGGUAAAGCCUUGUGCUUGCAACGCCAGGGUAGUGGGUUCGAUUCCCAGGAACACCCAUAUGUAAAAUGUAUGCACGCGUGACAAAGUUUCUUUGGAUAAAAGUGUCUGCUAAGUGGAAUAUAUUAUAUUACUUAUCAUAUCUUUCCACACACAACAAAUGUCAGGCCUGUGGUAUCAUAACCGUACCAGCCACCCAGAGGUGUUUGCAGGACAGACCCACCGACAGCUCUAGUCUCUGAUGCAGUGCAUGUUGUAAGUUCUUCCCUAGUGCCAGGAGCCUGGCCAAGCACCAGAGGAACCCAGGUGAGGACACCCACAGCUGGGGAGAGACCCAGGAAAGGCUUUCAGACCUAACCUACCCUGUCCAUGCUAUUACAUUACAACCACCCCCCCUUUUAUUUGCUUGGGUACCCAACUGACAUAAUAUCUUCUUAUUGUUGUUGUUGGUUUAGUGUUGUCCAUCCCUGUUAAGGAAUAUGCCAUUUGGGGUGUAUUAUGUAUUCCUUCCAAUCCCUUGUGUGUCCUAAAGGCAUGUUUGAUUCUGACGUGCUGCUGGUGGGGAAUCCAGACCUGCCAUCAGGAAAGAGCUGUGAUGUCUUACUGCUAUAUUCCUAACAUACAGUUCUAUCUGUCUGUGGCCGUGUCUGCUCUCUGUGCAUGUGUAUUGAGCUCUUCUCCCCUGUAUCCUCCCAGACUCAUCAGUGGUGAAGUGCCUGUAUUGUCCCAGCCUGUUCCCCCAGCGAGGCUGAGGUGCAGGAGCACGCCAGCACCGAGCAUUUCAGCCAAGAGGGGGCAGUGUUCAGCUGCUCUCUCUGCCAGCUGAAGCUCCAGGAGCACUUGCUCUCCUGCCACAUAGGGGAGCUAGAGGAGCAGGCCUCCAGCUCCCAGAUGGUGAUUGAGACAGAGGACACUGCUGGUGGGGCAGAACAAGUGAUCUCUAUGGACCAAUCCCAUCAGGUGUUUGUUGCCCUGGGAGACGGAGAGGAUGGUCUCUCAAGCACGGAGGUGAUGGUGGUUAACCUGGAGGACCUACUGAACGGAACCGUCACCUUUAUAUGUGGAGGUGACCUCUGACCCCUAGUCUCUACUUCCUGGAGAAGGAGGAACUGUCCUAGCAAUAGUGGCAGCUUGGAAUGAAUGAAACAAACUUGACACUGGCAAUGCCACUGGUUUUGUAUCCUGUAAUAGCUGUAAAUAUUGAGAUGGUGUGUACGCUUAUACACUAAGUGACAAAGCGUAACCUUUGAACCCUCAGGAUUGGUGUCUUUUUAUUAAUAAUCACUCUGUUAUUGCCCUGUGUAGAGCUGUGUAUGAAUCUUUAGUAUUUAUUUCCUUUUGAACUGGCGUGUGAAGCCUUGCUGUAUGAGUGUUGUACACGG
Molecule: long non-coding RNA, 2155 nt
Organism: Oncorhynchus tshawytscha (Chinook salmon)
Lineage: Eukaryota; Metazoa; Chordata; Actinopteri; Salmoniformes; Salmonidae
Exons: 3
Source: RefSeq, a predicted model, not a curated record